AGUGAACGCUGGCGGUAGGCCUAACGCAUGCAAGUCGAACGGCAGCACAGUAAGAGCUUGCUCUUACGGGUGGCGAGUGGCGGACGGGUGAGGAAUACAUCGGAAUCUACUUUUUCGUGGGGGAUAACGUAGGGAAACUUACGCUAAUACCGCAUACGACCUACGGGUGAAAGCAGGGGAUCUUCGGACCUUGCGCGAUUGAAUGAGCCGAUGUCGGAUUAGCUAGUUGGCGGGGUAAAGGCCCACCAAGGCGACGAUCCGUAGCUGGUCUGAGAGGAUGAUCAGCCACACUGGAACUGAGACACGGUCCAGACUCCUACGGGAGGCAGCAGUGGGGAAUAUUGGACAAAGGGCGCAAGCCUGAUCCAGCCAUACCGCGUGGGUGAAGAAGGCCUUCGGGUUGUAAAGCCCUUUUGUUGGGAAAGAAAAGCAGCAGGUUAAUACCCCGCUGUUCUGACGGUACCCAAAGAAUAAGCACCGGCUAACUUCGUG
This 492-nucleotide ribosomal RNA is filed under the name uncultured bacterium. RNAcentral describes it as "partial 16S ribosomal RNA". It matches the Rfam family "Bacterial small subunit ribosomal RNA", at positions 29 to 507 of the family's 1533-position model. The record is from RNAcentral.